This 292-nucleotide ribosomal RNA is filed under the name uncultured bacterium. RNAcentral's name for it is "partial 16S ribosomal RNA". It matches the Rfam family "Bacterial small subunit ribosomal RNA", at positions 505 to 796 of the family's 1533-position model. The record is from RNAcentral.
GUGUCAGCAGCCGCGGUAAUACGUAGGCAGCGAGCGUUGUUCGGAGUUACUGGGCGUAAAGCGUGCGUAGGCGGCGGCCCAAGUCUGGUGUGAAAUCUCCCGGCUUAACCGGGAGGGUGCGCUAGAAACUGGGUUGCUGGAGUACCGGAGAGGCAGGCGGAAUUCCUGGUGUAGCGGUGAAAUGCGUAGAUAUCAGGAGGAACACCCGUGGUGUAGACGGCCUGCUGGACGGUCACUGACGCUGAGGCACGAAAGCGUGGGGAGCAAACAGGAUUAGAAACCCCCGUAGUCC